GGGUGAUUAGCUCAGUUGGCUAGAGCGCACGAUUCACAUUCGUGAGGUCACAGGUUCGAACCCUGUAUCGCCCACCA
RNAcentral lists this transfer RNA (77 nucleotides) under Candidatus Saccharimonadota bacterium. Its description in RNAcentral is "tRNA-Val". It matches the Rfam family "tRNA". From Rfam's summary of the family: Transfer RNA (tRNA) molecules are approximately 80 nucleotides in length. Their secondary structure includes four short double-helical elements and three loops (D, anti-codon, and T loops). Lineage: Bacteria; Candidatus Saccharimonadota. The record is from RNAcentral.